Molecule: ribosomal RNA, 531 nt
Filed under: Basidiomycota sp. Z-16
Lineage: Eukaryota; Fungi; Basidiomycota
Description: eukaryotic LSU rRNA
Rfam family: 5.8S ribosomal RNA (bases 140-293)
Source: RNAcentral
ACGGGAACCUGCGGAAGGAUCAUUAAUGAUUGGCCUAACGGCCUUAUCAACAUAAUCCCUCACCUCUGUGAACCGUUGACCUCCGGGUCUACAUAACAAACAUCAGUGUAAAGAACGUCUUUAUAUUUUAACAAAAUAAAACUUUCAACAACGGAUCUCUUGGCUCUCGCAUCGAUGAAGAACGCAGCGAAAUGCGAUAAGUAAUGUGAAUUGCAGAAUUCAGUGAAUCAUCGAAUCUUUGAACGCACCUUGCGCCUUUUGGUAUUCCGAAAGGCAUGCCUGUUUGAGUGUCAUGAAAUCUCAAUCCCCCCGGGUUUUCUGAACCCGAGGUGGACUUGGACAUGGGUGUCUGCCGUCUCGUACGGCUCGCCUUAAAUGACUCAGUGGGAUCUUCAGCAUCCGUGGCAGACGUAAUAAGUUUCGUCUCGUCCCUUGCUGUGAGGACCGCUCAUAACCUGCCAUCGCGCACCACUUUUGACUCUGACCUCAAAUCAGGUAGGACUAGCCACGCUGAACUUAAGCAUAUCAAAG